CAUGUAUUUAAUCAUAGCGAAUCAAGCAUACAUCUAAACACCUAAGGAUUAUCAAACAUAUGCAUACUUCACAGUGACAUGAUUGUUUACAAAAUUUAGCAAGUAGGUGAUAGGAGGGCGUACCUGGAUAGCAUAGAUAACUUACAAUGCGCUUCCAUAAGACAUGAGGGAUUAGAUAAUAAUAAAAUAAAGAAACCCUAGCAUGCUUGUUAUCUAAUUAGCAUAACAAAAAUUAUCAAAGUAUAUGAAAACAUUAAUUAUCACACACAUCUUAUAUACAAUUCCUAAAAAAGAUAGACAUAAUUUCAACAAGUGACAAAAAUGGC
RNAcentral lists this long non-coding RNA (326 nucleotides) under Vitis vinifera (wine grape). Its description in RNAcentral is "long non-coding RNA (VVIN_LNC004973)". The record is from RNAcentral. Lineage: Eukaryota; Viridiplantae; Streptophyta; Magnoliopsida; Vitales; Vitaceae.